RNAcentral lists this ribosomal RNA (253 nucleotides) under uncultured bacterium. RNAcentral's name for it is "partial 16S ribosomal RNA". It matches the Rfam family "Bacterial small subunit ribosomal RNA", at positions 524 to 776 of the family's 1533-position model. The record is from RNAcentral.
UACGGGGGGGGCAAGCGUUGUUCGGAAUUACUGGGCGUAAAGCGCGCGUAGGCGGUUCGUUAAGUGGGAUGUGAAAUCCCCGGGCUUAACCUGGGAAUUGCAUUUCAAACUGGCCGACUAGAGUACGGUAGAGGGAGGUAGAAUUUCCUGUGUAGCGGUGAAAUGCGUAGAUAUAGGAAGGAAUACCAGUGGCGAAGGCGGCCUCCUGGAUCGAUACUGACGCUGAGGCGCGAAAGCGUGGGGAGCAAACAGG